AACGAACGCUGGCGGCAUGCCUAACACAUGCAAGUCGAACGAGACCUUCGGGUCUAGUGGCGCACGGGUGCGUAACGCGUGGGAACCUGCCCUUAGGUUCGGAAUAACUCCCCGAAAGGGGUGCUAAUACCGGAUAAUGUCUUCGGACCAAAGAUUUAUCGCCUUUGGAUGGGCCCGCGUUGGAUUAGCUAGUUGGUAGGGUAAAAGCCUACCAAGGCGACGAUCCAUAGCUGGUCUGAGAGGAUGAUCAGCCACACUGGGACUGAGACACGGCCCAGACUCCUACGGGAGGCAGCAGUGGGGAAUAUUGGACAAUGGGCGAAAGCCUGAUCCAGCAAUGCCGCGUGAGUGAUGAAGGCCUUAGGGUUGUAAAGCUCUUUUACCCGGGAUGAUAUUGACAGUACCGGGAGAAUAAGCUCCGGCUAACUCCGUG
This 433-nucleotide ribosomal RNA is filed under the name uncultured bacterium. RNAcentral describes it as "partial 16S ribosomal RNA". It matches the Rfam family "Bacterial small subunit ribosomal RNA", at positions 29 to 507 of the family's 1533-position model. The record is from RNAcentral.